GCGCCCUCAGCGGUUCCUGUCGCGCCCCUCGGCCUCGCCGCCACGGCAGCGGCUUCCCGGGCAACACGCACCAAGUGGGUGCUCCACCCAACAGGUCCUUAAAAACUUACAGGCAUGGUGACUCCACCACCUCCCAGGGAAACCUAUUCCAGUGCCUGACCACCCUGACAUGACAAUUUCUUGUUCUGAUAUCCUAUCGGAAUCUCCGCUGUCUCACCUUCAGGCCAUUUCCUCUUGUCCUCUCACUGCAGGAGCGGCAGGAGAGACCGACCCCCGCCACACUACUACAUUCUCCUUUCAGGAGUUGUGGAGACUUGGAUCCGACAAAACUUCCCAUGAUACAUGGAAUUAAAUGGCAAAAUGUGAAGCAAUGGCUGAGGCCACUUCUGAGAUUAAUUUCCUGACUUAAUUAAUUGACUGACAUGCAAGUACACUUGUGACAUUCUGGGCCCAUCCGUGAGGUUUUUAAUGGAACUAAAAGUCAGUAAUUUCAAUAGUUACGAUUUUAUGGUACAUGUCUGAUGGUUUUUUGUUUUGUUUUGUUUUGGUGAGGGAUAUGAAGCUGAAUUGAGUCUCAAGGCCUCACUGAUACACAGUGUUAGUACCGCAGUUAUGGUACAGUAUAAUGGUACGGUAAUUCUUUUUGCUGGUAUUGACUCUUCCCCAAGGAGAGCUGCAUCCUUUUGACAGACUGCAGUGACUGAUUGAACACAACCAGCAGACUCUAAGCUGUGUAGAACUGCAUGAGAGAUAGCCUAAGAAAUUGUCUCAGUUUCAAAUUAGAAAUGGCGCUGAUGAGCGAUAUACUGCAAUAUGCCAGUGGCUCUUGAAAAGCAUGCUGUCUUUUACAAAGGACUGAGUUUUGUAAAUUAUGGUGAGAGCACUGUAUAAAUAUAAUUUUUUUUCUUUGUGUGACUAAGAAUUGGAGACCAUAUAAAAUGUUUGUAUCUGUAUAAAAUCAGCCAGUUCUCCAGAAGCAGGUCAGUUGCCUGAGGCUGUCUCAAAGACGAGAAAGUUUCCUGACAACAGAACUCAUACUAACCAUUUCUACUGGUCAAUUACUUUGACUGCAGUCACAGGUGGACUCAAACGCAGGCAUAGCUUUUUUAGGGGUGCUGAACGACUGUUACAGAAAGAGAUCUGAGUAAAAUACAGUCCCUAUAAAGAAGGCUGCAUCUAUGCAAUGCAUAAUGCAUACUUAAUGUUUUUAUGAAAAUUUUCCAGUGAAAAACCAGAAUGUUGAAACUGCAGGUAUUACUGAUGUACCCCAUAUGGGCUAUAACAGUAUAAUUUCAGGAAUUACACAGAGUUGAAAGCCAUACUGUAGUCUGUUGAACUUUAGGAUACUAAAAAUUAACAAUUUAUGAAAACACCUGACACUUAAUACUGGCUAUGCAAAACAGUUUGUGAAUGUAACCUUAAUACUGCAUACAUACAAACACUGUAUGUAAUUAUAAUGAAAUUUACCCCAAAAGUUUGCUGAUUGAAAAAGCAGCUCAGUGUUUCUUAGUCGUAAUUUUUUUAGCAAGCCUCUAGUGUGUUAUGUGUCAUUGAAUUUUAAUUUACACUUUAAUAUACAACCUACCCCAUGAGACAUUUCUUCAACUAAACUACGUGGCUUGAGGUCAAAACCCCAGCUUGUUCUUGUAGCUCCUUAAGUGCUCUAGGUUCUUCCUAUCACCAGCUCCACAGAACAUACACACCCUUCUUUCCUGGGGCAAGUUCCUUGUUCAUUCAUCAGAUAAAGAAGCAGGAAAAAAAUGCCUCCAGAACACAAGUAAUUAACUUAUGGAGUAAUUUUGCAAUGACAGAGUAACACUUUGCAUAUUAUAGCCUAAAAACAACAGAAGAUUGAGCACCUGUGCUUCUAAUUAUUCAGUAAUAAAGCAGUAGAAUUGAAGCUUAGCUUGGGGCUGUCAGUCCUGCCUCGGUGGAGCUGUGGGAGUGCCAGUCUGCAUCUCAGCCUCCUGGCCUGCCUGGCUGACAUCGCUCACCAUUGACCUGCUUGCUCAUCACUACUGUCUGUGGACUGAGGUCAUAGCCAAACCCAUUCCCAGCUGGUUUGUACAUGUUAGUCACAAGUUCCCACUCUAAGAGGCACGUCUUCCCUCUGGAUCCAGUUGCUUUCUUUCAGCAGGUCAGAGUCUAGGUGUGCUGUUGCAGGGAAAUAGAUCACUAACACUUGCAAGUGUUACAAUGAAAACUGAACUCUGACCAGAAAAAUAACCGUUCGCAUAGAUGCUACUGCCUUGAUUACCCAGGGGAAAAAAAAAAAAAAAAAAAAAAAAAAAAAAAAAAAGUCAAGUUAAUGUAUUUUGUGAUAAGGCAGCUGAAUGGGUGCUUUCUAUGUGUUCAGAAUGUAGAUUACUUUGACACUUAGACAGGGGAAAGUGGUGAAAUACCUCACCUUCUGUAUGGAAAUCAUAAACCUGUUGCUGUUUCAGGAGGGAAAUGAGAAAAUCUUGGCAGAUCCAAGAGCUUCAAAAGAGCUUCAAAAAGCUCUUGACUACCCAGUUUUCCAUACAGUCAACUUAAAAAGUUCUUCUAAAAAUGGCAAUUAAUUAAAAAUGUAAAAAAAAAAUCCCUGUCAAUAAAGAAUGGCUUUUCCCUUCUGCCUUAGCCUUCUUAACUUCCUUACGUUGCAACAGUCUGCAGUGACUUCUACUCAGUAUGUGCUUCAAUAAUCCCUGUAUUUCAAGUGUCUGUCACUUAUUUCAGGUUCAAUUAAACCAUUAAAAAAUAUUUAAAUCACACUUUGAAAAGUAGUUUACAGCAGAAAUACAAUUAAAGAGCUACUUUCAUUUA
Molecule: non-coding RNA, 2805 nt
Organism: Cyanistes caeruleus (blue tit)
Lineage: Eukaryota; Metazoa; Chordata; Aves; Passeriformes; Paridae
Source: RefSeq, a predicted model, not a curated record